GGCUCUGAGGCGCAAUGGAUAACGCGUGUGACUUCGAAUCAGAAGACUCCAGAUUCGACCCCUGGCAGGGUCG
Molecule: non-coding RNA, 73 nt
Organism: Cinara cedri
Lineage: Eukaryota; Metazoa; Arthropoda; Insecta; Hemiptera; Aphididae
Source: the annotation of a GenBank genome assembly